UGGACUCCUCUGCCGAUGCU
RNAcentral lists this microRNA (20 nucleotides) under Macaca fascicularis (crab-eating macaque). Its description in RNAcentral is "novel_miR70-3p". The record is from RNAcentral. Lineage: Eukaryota; Metazoa; Chordata; Mammalia; Primates; Cercopithecidae.